CCUACGGGUGGCAGCAGUGAGGAAUAUUGGUCAAUGGGCGAGAUCCUGAACCAGCCAAGCAGCGUGAAGGAAGACGGCCCUAUGGGUUGUAAACUUCUUUUAUCGGGGAAUAAAAUCCGGGACGUGUCCCGCACUGCGUGUAUCUGAUGAAAAAGCAUCGGCUAACUCCGUGCCAGCAGCCGCGGUAAUACGGAGGAUCCGAGCGUUAUCCGGAUUUAUUGGGUUUAAAGGGUGCGUAGGCGGUUUGUUAAGUCAGCCGUUAAAAUUCGGGGCUCAACCCUCACCGAGCGGUUGAUACUGGCAUACUGGAGUUGACUAGAGGUAGGCGGAAUGCGCGGUGUAGCGGUGAAAUGCAUAGAUAUCGCGCAGAACUCCGAUUGCGAAGGCAGCGUACCGGCGCCAGACUGACGCUGAGGCACGAAAGCGUGGGUAUCGAACAGGAUUAGAUACCCCAGUAGUC
This 460-nucleotide ribosomal RNA is filed under the name uncultured bacterium. RNAcentral's name for it is "partial 16S ribosomal RNA". It matches the Rfam family "Bacterial small subunit ribosomal RNA", at positions 338 to 795 of the family's 1533-position model. The record is from RNAcentral.